Molecule: transfer RNA, 91 nt
Filed under: Clostridia bacterium
Lineage: Bacteria; Bacillati; Bacillota; Clostridia
Description: tRNA-Ser
Rfam family: tRNA
About the family: Transfer RNA (tRNA) molecules are approximately 80 nucleotides in length. Their secondary structure includes four short double-helical elements and three loops (D, anti-codon, and T loops).
Source: RNAcentral
GGAGAGUUGGCUGAGUGGUCGAAGGCGCACGAUUGGAAAUCGUGUGUACGUUUAAAGCGUACCUAGGGUUCAAAUCCCUAACUCUCCGCCA